UACAGAGGUCCCAAGCGUUGUUCGGAUUGACUGGGCGUAAAGGGCGUGUAGGCGGUUGGUCAAGUCGGGUGUGAAAGCCUGAGGCUCAGCCUCAGAAGUGCAUCCGAAACUAGCCAGCUAGAGCGCGAUAGAGGAGGGUGGAAUUCCUGGUGUAGCGGUGAAAUGCGUAGAUAUCAGGAGGAACACCGGCGGCGAAGGCGGCCCUCUGGCUCGUUGCUGACGCUGAGACGCGAAAGCGUGGGGAGCAAACAGG
RNAcentral lists this ribosomal RNA (253 nucleotides) under uncultured bacterium. Its description in RNAcentral is "partial 16S ribosomal RNA". It matches the Rfam family "Bacterial small subunit ribosomal RNA", at positions 524 to 776 of the family's 1533-position model. The record is from RNAcentral.